Mesocricetus auratus (golden hamster) is the source of this 412-nucleotide long non-coding RNA. RefSeq lists it as uncharacterized. The record is from RefSeq and is a predicted model, not a curated record. The transcript is spliced from 3 exons. NCBI's taxonomy places the organism in Eukaryota, Metazoa, Chordata, Mammalia, Rodentia, Cricetidae.
CCUGUGUGACGUCAUCACAGGCCCAGCUGCUUCUGUGGCAGUGCCCUGACUCUGCCACACACUGGAUCCAUCAGCCUUCCUUGAUGACUAUGAAGACACGGAAGUUAUUAUGGAGUGGCGGUUUGUGACAGAGGAGAAGAGACAAUCUGACAGCCGAGAGAACACAGCUUUGUACAAGCUCCUGACUCGUAACCAGGGACCACUGCCACAGGAGGGAGCAUCCAGGGCCUCUUCCCACCCUGCCUCUAGCCCCCGCAACCAUGCCCACCCUCUGACUGGCCUUCCUCUAUGAACCAGAGAACUCUGGUCGUGCUAAUGGCGGAUGACUUCAGGUAUACGCCAACCUGUUUUCUCACCUGCCUUUAGGGACUCGUCACCAGUGUUAGUUAAUAAACUCGAUUUGUCUGCAGGA